RNAcentral lists this non-coding RNA (27 nucleotides) under Rattus norvegicus (Norway rat). Lineage: Eukaryota; Metazoa; Chordata; Mammalia; Rodentia; Muridae. The record is from RNAcentral.
UGGAAUUGUUCCUGAUGAAGGUUAAAC